GGGAAACAUUUUAUUGAAGCUUCGGCAGAUAUAGCUUGUUUCUAGUGGCGGACGGGUGAGUAACGCGUGGGUAACCUGCCUCACACUGGGGGAUAACAGUCAGAAAUGGCUGCUAAUACCGCAUAAGCGCACAGCAUCGCAUGAUGCAGUGUGAAAAACUCCGGUGGUGUGAGAUGGACCCGCGUUGGAUUAGCUAGUUGGCAGGGCAGCGGCCUACCAAGGCGACGAUCCAUAGCCGGCCUGAGAGGGUGAACGGCCACAUUGGGACUGAGACACGGCCCAGACUCCUACGGGAGGCAGCAGUGGGGAAUAUUGCACAAUGGGGGAAACCCUGAUGCAGCGACGCCGCGUGAAGGAAGAAGUAUCUCGGUAUGUAAACUUCUAUCAGCGGGGAAGAAAAUGACGGUGCCUGACUAAGAAGCCCCGGCUAACUACGUGCCAGCAGCCGCGGUAAUACGUAGGGGGCAAGCGUUAUCCGGAUUUACUGGGUGUAAAGGGAGCGUAGACGGUGUUGCAAGUCUGAUG
Molecule: ribosomal RNA, 525 nt
Filed under: uncultured Lachnospiraceae bacterium
Lineage: Bacteria; Bacillati; Bacillota; Clostridia; Lachnospirales; Lachnospiraceae
Description: bacterial SSU rRNA
Rfam family: Bacterial small subunit ribosomal RNA
Source: RNAcentral